Molecule: ribosomal RNA, 234 nt
Filed under: uncultured bacterium
Lineage: Bacteria
Description: partial 16S ribosomal RNA
Rfam family: Bacterial small subunit ribosomal RNA
Source: RNAcentral
GAUCAUGGCUCAGAUUGAACGCUGGCGGCAGGCCUAACACAUGCAAGUCGAACGGUAACAGGAAGCAGCUUGCUGCUUCGCUGACGAGUGGCGGACGGGUGAGUAAUGUCUGGGAAACUGCCUGAUGGAGGGGGAUAACUACUGGAAACGGUAGCUAAUACCGCAUAACGUCGCAAGACCAAAGAGGGGGGACCUUCGGGCCUCUUGCCAUCGGAUGUGCCCAGAUGGAGUAGU